Long non-coding RNA from Ornithodoros turicata, 3779 nucleotides. RefSeq lists it as uncharacterized. The transcript is spliced from 3 exons. The record is from RefSeq and is a predicted model, not a curated record. Lineage: Eukaryota; Metazoa; Arthropoda; Arachnida; Ixodida; Argasidae.
AGGACACACCCCACGGCAUUGAUGGCUGCAGGAUCAAAGUUCACCGUGACUUCUUCCGGGUCUGGGGUAACACCCAAACGUUCGCAUGCGUUCACUGUCGCCCUCAGGAACUCUUCGUAGGUUUUCCUUGUCUUGCUUACCAUGAGGGCGAAGACUGCUGGAACUACACUCUGCCCCAAAGACCCUUACUUCAUCUCGGGGAGCCCUGUAUAUGGAAACUUGCGCCAACAUACCCUCGUCAUCGAUAGCACUUUAUUUAGCGAAGGAACUUGCUCUAUGGUUGUUCAAGGUACAGUGGCAGGAUGAAGACCCAUGGGUAUCAGGUAGGCUUAAUCCACAGCAGUCACUGUUGCAAGGUAGGUAAACUAGGUAGGUUUCCACGUCUGCCUCCAUGUUUUGUGUGUAUACAAUGUGUAACUCGGUGUCCAAGACAGUUGUAACAAAGCAGCUCGUAACCUGAAUGAUAUGUGUGGCAUCACAGGGACGUAUCGUUUGGGUGGGGAACCAUUUGGUUGAACUACUUUCAGUGCUUGCUGUAUCUGUCUGCAUAACUAACACACUGCUUACUGGAAGGUGUCACACCAUUUUGCAGUGAUACAGAUAUGUGGAAAUACGAAAUGUGGUACAAAGACUAUGGUAUGGUUAGGCAAUAUCACAGCUUAGUGCAUUUACAAAAUUGGCAACAGCAACAGUAAAUGAUGGAAAAAUGAUGAGGACAUGGGAUGUUUCCCCCAUAAUAGCCACGGGACCCUACCCAACAAGACUGAAGUAUGCGUGUAUACCUGCCAACUUCUCGAUUAUGCGGGAAACUCCUGAAUUUCGUUCAGUCUCCCGAUUUUAUGGACUCACCCUCCAAUCUCCCGGAAAACUGGGGCUUUAAGCUUUUCUUCUCUCAUUUUCAUUUAUGGGGGACGUGGGUUUCGAGACCAACUUUGCUUAUUUCUGGUCCAAUCUUGAUGAAAAUUGGUGGAAAUGUUUGUGGUGUGUCUGGAAUAACUCUGCAAAAGUUUCAAAAAGAUACUCUUUGCAGAUUUUUUAAUAUAAAUUUUUUAUUUUCAUCUACACGGCUUGUGGAGGGGCUACAGACCUAACAAACUAUGAUAGAAGCGGGCUGUAACUUGCUGUGUACUCCCAAAUGAUACCUUCACUGAGUGACAUUCUUCCUUUAUUUUUCUUCUCACACGAGAAUUUUCACCUGCCAUUUUUCAUUGUGUGGUAAAAACCAGCCAGUCUGUUCUGUGUACAAAUACAUGUGCUAAAAAUCUGGGGUCGUCCAACUUGAAAAAGUAAGAAUGUGACGAAGAGCACCAGUCUUCCAAGAGUGUAACGAAACAAACAGGGCCAAGAUAGCGCCAUUAGUCAUGGAGCUACAGUCGCUGACCGAUUUUUCGGACCCCGAUUUUUCGGACGUGCUCGAUUAUUCGGACUCGUUCGCAGAACAGUCGCGGGUCCCAUAGAGUUGAUGUAUGAGAACGUCAAAAAUUUCGGACGCCGUGCAGCUCCGUCGCUCGAUAUUUCUGACUCUGUUUGCCCAACACGCGAAUUUCUCUCUUGGGGUGACGGAAAAUAUUGGUAUCAUCUGAAAUUCGUAUCGAAAGAAAUCAACGAACUAAAAUGUUGAGGAAAAAAAACAGGCAGUGAUGAUUGUUCAUUUUCCAUUACUCUGAGUAGAAGAGGUCUGUCAUAGCGCUUUUGCGUCUUCGUUUUUGGCCAACGGCCCAGCACGUGCUGUCCGCCCGCGAGUCGCGCUACAGCGCUGUAAAGCGAGCUUCACCUAAAACACGCAUGCGUUAGGUGAAGCCGACUUGCAGACUUGAUGACGGCGGUGCCUCUCACAGUGUACGUUGACAAAAUGUCGCUUCGGGAAAUAGAAGCUGAUGUUAUCAGGUAGAGUUGGAAGCGCGUUAGGAAAGCAUCGACAAAUUUUUCCAGUCUACUAGGGCUUAGUAAAGUUUAUUUUGAAGCGAAAUUCGUUUUUUCGGACUGCUCGAUUAUUCGGACUUUUGCGCGAUCCCCGCCGAGUCCGAAAAAUCGGACGGCGACUGUAUCUGCUCCACGAGCAGAGCAAGUAGUGAAAAAACCUAUUUUGAGAAAACAGGCUUCAAAGUUUUGAACAACAUUUGCUACACUAAAAAGCGCCAGAAUUGUAAUCCUUCUUGUUGCUCUCGUCACGGGCCUUCUUUGCCUUCUUUGCCUUAGUCUCGUGAGCUUUGGACGCCUUCUUGCGACGCAAGUGGUCCUUUUCGGAAGACCUCCGUAGUGCAUGAACACCGGGCUGGAGUCCAAUUGAUUUGCAGAACUCGGUGUAUGCACGGGGGGGUGCCAGAAUUAUAUCUACAAAUAGCCUCACUCACAGCGGCCUCCACUGUAACCAGUGACGCAUGUUCAUCCUUUGACAGCAGAGACCAUAUCACUGAGUGGAGGCUCUCCGCAGCAUUUUGUGUGUUUUUUUCCCUGACACCUCUCUAGCAGCUGAGGUUCAGAGAGGCGCCGGUAUACGGGAAAUAGUGCUUCAGCGACAUGGCUUGCCAGCCGGUAUUUAUGUGGUGGCUGAGGCUUCCCAUCUGCUUCGGCUGCUUGGUGCCUGCACCAACUUGCAGGGCCUUCUGGACAGAGCUCGUGGUGUGGAUCGUCAUCUGUUGAAGUCACAUGGUAAUAUGUGGCCAUGACGGCUAGCUGCAUGUCCGCUACCUCGCCGCUGCUUCUCAGUGCCAGACCAUAGUAGUUCGUCAAUUUCUUGAUAAGGUCUUGGGUGAGCCCACCACGUCCGCCCAGGGGUUUGUCUUUUUUGCUUUUUGCAACGAGGGAGCACAAUGCGGAGCCCAUACGCUUCUUGACAUGGUUUAUGCAGUCCUCCUUUUUCAGUUGUAUAAAACCGUAGGUCCUGUCUUCACACAGUGCCAAAAACGUCCUGCUGUCCCCGUCUCAUACGAUAUCCGUGUACCUUAGGUCGUUUUUUUCAAGAGAGCACCUAAAAAGUUGAAGGGCAGCCUCUACUUCCAUUCCAGAAGAGUUUGAGUCAGUGUUUUUUUUUGGCAUGCAUGCGACUCCUUCCAUUCGGCAUAGCCAUCUUCGUCCUCUUUUGGGCCUGUUGUGCAACCCAGGCACCAGUUAGAAAGCACAGUCGAGUCUAGGACAAGUCCGGUGUAGAAGUCUAUUACUGUGCCCACACCAAUAUGCGAGGUACGGCCACAGGUCAGCCAUGUCCCGUCAUAAACGACAGUUAUAUUCUUGGUAAAAGUGUCAUCCAUUUCCUUGUAGACCUCUCGAACAGCACCAACCGCGUCCUUGAAAAUAUUUUCGGCUGCAGCAGAAGCAGCAGGGGCAAAGGUCUGCUUCAGGUGCUCCUGAAAUGUUUUAUGAUGGAGACCUCGGUGCGAGACGUUCAUUAUGGCCCAAAAGUCGGUGAGGGCAGUAGAGCCUUUCCCAAUGCUCUUGAUUGCUUGCAUAGCUCUCAAAUUUACUUGGAAGGCUCUACUACCCUCCUUACGUGGCGAGGACCACCCCGUUGCGACUGUCCCGCAUUUGUCACACGUUAGUUCCAUCUUCACUGCUAGUCCGAGUCUUGUGCUCGGCACAACCCUAAUGCCGGGCUCCAGGCAUUCCUGGCAUGGGGUGUUGCUCAGUAGCAUGUUUAGUUCCGCGAUUUGGCACAUCAUAAACUCCUCGGAAUCCGGAACGUCAGCGGAUCCCUGGCUGUCACCCGUCAGGUUGAUCUUCUGCUCGGUCGCGGACACUGCGCUAAGCGAUGCCUGCACAGAUUCACUUUUCUCACGUGA